AAAAAAGGCGAGGAAAGCAGAGUUGCGCGACUCGAGCUUCCCGGGAAAAGUUGGCAUCAACGUUGAGAUGACGAGGGCGAAAAAGGUAUGUGUCGCGACGGCGCCGAUGGAUCGCAACGUAGAGAAGAGCCUCAUCCGGAACUCAACAGAUCGAUUACAAAAGUAAUACGCUUGCAAUGCGUCUCGACGUUCAUUUUGUCGCCGAUUGCAACUAGCAGCGUUGCGGAGGAUCGUCGAUCGACCGAGAAAAAAGCCGCCUCAGCUUCAGGGUUUCGGGGAGAGACGUGGCUCCAGUCGUCUCGGAGGUAUCUACUCAGGUGUCGUCGGACCGCUUGAGGUAAUAAUGCUCGAAGGAUAUAACCGAACAACGGUUCGAUGACCCAGGUGGUAAAGGAAUUGAAUACUGUGACAUGGAUAGCCUAAAUACGGACGCCGACGGAGCCAUUGUUCACCUUGUAACCGAUACUCUCUGUUUCCUAGAAUGAGCCGAUCGUCCUCCAUCGAUAUUUAACCGUUUUAGUGCGAUCGCGCCGUUCAGAUUUCCUGUCGAAGAGAGCCACAGCGAUGUACAGUUUACAAUGCGCUCGGUUUCGAUUAUAGCGUAUCGACGCUUCUUCUUCCAAUUACUUUUUUUUCAAUUAACCCGUUCGAGACGAAGAAUGGUUUCAAAGACGAUCCCCAGGAGCGGGAAAUUUUUGUUUCUCAUGUCAAAUGGUUUAAACAGAAGAAAUGUUUGGAAGUUUAUCUCAGAACGAUCUUAUCUUCACGGCUACUUCUUCACCAAUAACUAAUAACUCAAGUUCAAGAUCAUUACGCACGAUACUUCUACACGGUUGCUUGAAGGAAGCGCUAUCGCGCCACACGGCACUAUCCAGCACAGUUUUUUAAAUAACCUGUGACAC
Frieseomelitta varia is the source of this 902-nucleotide long non-coding RNA. RefSeq lists it as uncharacterized. Lineage: Eukaryota; Metazoa; Arthropoda; Insecta; Hymenoptera; Apidae. The transcript has 4 exons. The record is from RefSeq and is a predicted model, not a curated record.